Non-coding RNA from Pelobates cultripes (western spadefoot toad), 104 nucleotides. The record is from the annotation of a GenBank genome assembly. Lineage: Eukaryota; Metazoa; Chordata; Amphibia; Anura; Pelobatidae.
CCUUUAUCCAUUCCCUCUGCAAAUGUGUGUGUGUAUAUAUAUAUGUAUAUAUAUAUACAUAUAUAUAUACACACACACACAUUUGCAGAGGGAAUGGAUAAUGG